RNAcentral lists this long non-coding RNA (4309 nucleotides) under Triticum aestivum (bread wheat). RNAcentral describes it as "long non-coding RNA (TAES_LNC028468)". Lineage: Eukaryota; Viridiplantae; Streptophyta; Magnoliopsida; Poales; Poaceae. The record is from RNAcentral.
GCAUUGUAGGUUUUGUCGUAAGAAGGGUCAUCUUCACACAAUCCCAUGUAAUGAACAAGAAUGGGAUAAAGAGUUGGCUUACAAUCGCCACUUCACACAAUACAUAAAUAAAACAUACAUCAUUCAGAGUACACACAUAGUCCGACUACGGACAAAUCCAAAUAAAAAGAAGAUAACCCAACUGCUAGAUCCCGAUCUUCCCCAACUGGACAUCACUACUGAUCAACAUGAAAAGAAACAUAGAAACGACCAAGUCUCUCGUCGAAACCCCACUUGAGUUCGGCAGCAUCACCUGCGCUGGUAUCCUCGGCACCUGCAACUGUUUUUGUAGUAAUCUGUGAGCCACGAGGACUCAGCAAUCCCAUUACCAUGGGUAACAAGACUAGCAAAGCUUAAUGGGAAAGGAAGGGGUAAAGUGGUGAGGUUGCAGCAGCGGCUAAGCAAGUAUGGUGGCUAUCAUACGCAAAUAAGAGCGAGAAGAGAAGCAAUGGAACGGUCGUCAACUAGUAAUGAACAAGAAGUGAUCCUGAACUCCUAUUUACGCCAAGCAUAACCCAAGGACCGUGUUCUCCUCUCGAACAACCCCGAAAGAGAGACAAUCACAGUUACGCACACGGUUGGUGUAUUUUAGAAAAGAUUACUUCAAGUUUACUACAACCGGAUAUUAACAAAUUCCCAUCUGCCACAUAACCGCGGGCACGGCUUUCGAAAGUUCAAAACCCUGCAGGGGUGUCCCAACUUAGCCCAUGAUAAGCUCUCACGGUCAACGAAGGAUAUUCCUUCUCCCGGGAAGACCCGAUCAAUCUCGGAAUCCCGGUUACAAGACAUUUCGACAAGUUAAAAUAAGACCAGCAAAGCCGCCCGGCGUGUCGACACCCUGAUAGAAGCCGCACGUAUCUCGUUCUCAGUGUUGGAAAUAUGCCCUAGAGGCAAUAAUAAAAUGGUUAUUAUUAUAUUUCCUUGUUCAUGAUAAUUGUCUGUUGUUCAUGCUAUAAUUGUGUUAUCCGGAAAUCGUAAUACAUGUGUGAAUACAUAGACCACAACAUGUCCCUAGUGAGCCUCUAGUUGACUAGCUCGUUGAUCAACAGAUAGUCAUGGUUUCCUGACUAUGGACAUUGGAUGUCAUUGAUGACGGGAUCACAUCAUUAAGAGAAUGAUGUGAUGGACAAGACCCAAUCCUAAGCAUAGCGCAAGAUCGUGUAGUUCGUUUGCUAAAACUUUUCCAAUGUCAAGUAUCAUUUCCUUAGACCAUGAGAUCGUGUAAUUCCCGGAUGCCGUAGGAGUGCUUUGGGUAUACCAAACGUCACAACGUAACUGGGUGACUAUAAAGGUACACUACAGGUAUCCCCGAAAGUAUCUGUUGGGUUGACACGGAUCAAGACUUGGGAUUUGUCACUCCGUAUGACGGAGAGGUAUCUCUUGGGCCCACUCGGUAAUGCAUCAUCAUAAUGAGCUCAAUGUGACCAAGUGCUUGGUCACGGGAUCAUGCAUUAUGUUACGAGUAAAGUGACUUGCCGGUAACGAGAUUGAACGAGGUAUUGGGAUACCGACGAUCGAAUCUCGGGCAAGUAACGUGCCGAUUGACAAAGGGAAUUGUAUACGGGAUUGAUUGAAUCCUCGACAUCGUGGUUCAUCCGAUGAGAUCAUCGAGGAUCAUGUGGGAGCCAACAUGGGUAUCCAGAUCCCGCUGUUGGUUAUUGACCGGAGAGUCGUCUCGGUCAUGUCUGCAUGUCUCCCGAACCUGUAGGGUCUACACACUUAAGGUUCGGUGACGCUAGGGUUGUAUAGAUAUUGGUAUGCAGUAACCCGAAAGUUGUUCGGAGUCCCAGAUGAGAUCCCGGACGUCACGAGGAGUUCCGGAAUGGUCCGGAGGUAAAGAAUUGUAUAUGGAAAGUCAAGUUUCGGCCAUCGGGAAGGUUUCGGGGGUCACCGGUAUUGUACCGGGACCACCAGAAGGGUCCCGGGGGUCCACCGGGUGGGGCCACCUAUCCCAGAGGGCCCCAUGGGCUGAAGUGGGAGGGGAACCAGCCCCUAGUGGGCUGGGGCGCCCCCCAUGGGCCUUCCCCCUGCGCCUAGGGUUGGAAACCCUAGGGGUGGGGGCGCCCCCCACCUGACUUGGGGGGCAAGCCCCCCUUGGCCGCCGCCCCCCCUGGGAGAUCCAUCUCCAGGGCCGGCGCCCCCCUUGGGGGUCCUAUAUAAAGGGGGGAGGGCAGCAGCACCUAAGCUUUGGCGCCUCCCUCUCCCACCCCAACAUCUCUCCUCCUCCGUAAGCGCUUGGCGAAGCCCUGCCGGAGUACUGCUGCUCCACCAUCACCACGCCGUCGUGCUGCUGGAGUCAUCUUCAUCAACCUCUCCUUCCCCUUGCUGGAUCAAGAAGGAGGAGACGUCUCUCCCAAACCGUACGUGUGUUGAACGCGGAGGUGCCGUCCGUUCGGCGCUAGGAUCAUCGGUGAUUUGGAUCACGGCGAGUACGACUCCAUCAACCCCGUUCUCUUGAACGCUUCCGUGCGCGAUCUACAUCAAGGGUAUGUAGAUGCUCUCUUAUCCCUCUCGUUGCUAGAAUACUCCUAGAUAGAUCUUGGUGAUGCGUAGAAAAUUUUAAAAUUCUGCUACGUUCCCCAACACUCAGGACACGACCGGAUGAGUCAAGCUACGAGUAAAACCAGCCCUCAAGUUUCCCCGAGGUGGCCCCGCAGGUUGCUCGGUUCGGACCAGCACUUAGAGAAGCACUGGCCCGGGGGGGCUAAAUAAAGAUGACCCUUGAGUCUGCAGAACCCAAGGGAAAGGUAUAGGUGGUAGGUAGGCAAAUGGUAAAACCAAAGUUGGGCCUUGCUGGAGGAGUUUUAUUCAAGGCGAACUGUCAAGGGGGUCUCAUAAAUCACCCAACCGUGUUAGGGACGCAAAAAUCCGGGAACAUAAUACCGAUAUGACGGAAACUAGGGUGGCAAGAGUGGAACAAAACACCAGGCAAAAGGCCGAGCCUUCCACCCUUUACCAAGUAUAUAGAUGCAUUAAUAAUAUAAGAGAUAUUGUGAUAUCCCAACAUAAACAUAAACCAACAUGGAGCAAACUUCAUCUUCACCUGCAACUAGCAACGCUAUAAGAGGGGCUGAGCAAAAGCGGUAACAUAGCCAAACAACGGUUUGCUAGGACGGGUGAAAAAGGUUAGAGGUUCAUGGCAAUUUGGGAGGCUUGAUAAGCAAGUGGUAGGUAACGCGGCAUAGCGAUAGAACGAAGCAACUAGUAUAGCAAUGAUAGUAAUGAGAUCCAAGGUGACGGUCAUCUUGUCUGAAACCCCGCUAGGAAGAAGAACGAGUCCAUGAAGCAGACAAACGGGCGGAGUCGAACGAAUCCUCACAACUCCGGAACGAAACCGAAGCUAACGAGAGAAGCAAACCGGAAAGGAGCAAACAACAUAGUAAACAAUCAUCACAUAAACAUGGCAUGAUGCACAAUCAAGUAUGAUGCAUGUCCGGUUUAAGGAGGCAUGGCAUGACAAAGUGCACAAAACAAAACUACAAAUUAAGUGGAGCUCAAUAUGCAACGAGUUGCAUAUUGCCGAAACACCACAUUCAAGUUAUUUAGUUCGCUCUUGGUUAUGUACCCAACAAUAUUAAAAGUUAAUUAAACAUGGCAAGGGGUGAAGCAUAAUAAAUCUAUCUAUUUAAGCAAGUUUAAAUGAGGCCGGAAAUAACAAACAACAAGUCCGGUAAAUCCUCAUGUGCAUAUUUUUGAUUUGGUACUGUUCUGCCCUAAAUCAUAUUUUAAUGUUGUUAAACAGUAAAACAAAGUGCAUCAAGUUAAUCUAUGCAUUUUUCCACCCCAUUUACAUAUAAAGUUUAUUAAAAUCGGAGUUACGGUUAUUUAGUUAUGGAAUAAAUCUUUUUCAUGGCAAUUUGAGCAAAUUUAAACAAACAACAUUUUAAGCAUUUUAAACAUGGAUGAAAGCAACAUAUUAUGAAACUAGAUGAAAUUCUAAGCAUUUUACAUAUAUAAUUCAUUUUAAUAUGAUGCACGGAUGUGGAGUUAUUAAUGCACGAACAUUAAGGGGUUUUCUGAGAAACUGCAGUUCCUGGGAAAAUAGCUAAAAUCGCAACAGAGGAAAAAAAACGCAUCGGGCCGAAUCUGGGACGGACUGGGUGCAGGACUGUGGGUGGCUCACCAUGGGCCAAGCCCAGUUCGGUGGGGAGGAGGAUGGGCAGGCCGCGAAGGGGCGCGCUGGGCCUUGGCGCGGAGGAGGCCGACCCGUGGUUGCAGCCCAUGUGAGCAGCCGAAUCGGUCAACAGGCGAAGGGGCGGGCGAGCUGCUG